Molecule: ribosomal RNA, 464 nt
Filed under: uncultured bacterium
Lineage: Bacteria
Description: SSU rRNA
Rfam family: Bacterial small subunit ribosomal RNA
Source: RNAcentral
AGGACGAACGCUGGCGGCGCGCCUAACACAUGCAAGUCGAGCGAUAACCAGGGCUUGCCCUGGGGACAGCGGCGAACGGGUGCGUAACACGUGAGCAACCUGCCCCAAAGACCGGGACAACCCGAGGAAACUCGGACUAAUACCGGAUGCCCUCACCGGGCCGCAUGGUCUGGUGAGGAAAUGGAUUCCGCUUUGGGAUGGGCUCGCGGUCUAUCAGCUUGUUGGUGGGGUAACGCCUACCAAGGCGACGACGGAUAGCUGGUCUGAGAGGACGAUCAGCCACACUGGGACUGAGACACGGCCCAGACUCCUACGGGAGGCAGCAGUGGGGAAUCUUGCGCAAUGGGGGAAACCCUGACGCAGCGACGCCGCGUGCGGGAUGAGGCCUUCGGUGUAACCGCUUUCAGCAGGGACGAAUUGACGGUACCUGCAGAAGAGGCCCGGCACUACGUGCCAGCAGCCGC